GCUGCAGAAGAAGCACCGGCUAACUCCGUGCCAGCAGCCGCGGUAAUACGGAGGGUGCGAGCGUUAAUCGGAAUUACUGGGCGUAAAGCGCAUGCAGGUGGUUUGUUAAGUCAGAUGUGAAAGCCCGGGGCUCAACCUCGGAAUUGCAUUUGAAACUGGCAAACUAGAGUACUGUAGAGGGGGUAGAAUUUCAGGUGUAGCGGUGAAAUGCGUAGAGAUCUGAAGGAAUACCGGUGGCGAAGGCGGCCCCCCUGGACCAGAUACUGACACUCAGAUUCGCGAAAGCGUGGGGAGCAAACCAGGAUUAGAUACCCUCGGUAG
Molecule: ribosomal RNA, 321 nt
Filed under: uncultured bacterium
Lineage: Bacteria
Description: bacterial SSU rRNA
Rfam family: Bacterial small subunit ribosomal RNA
Source: RNAcentral